RNAcentral lists this ribosomal RNA (253 nucleotides) under uncultured bacterium. RNAcentral's name for it is "partial 16S ribosomal RNA". It matches the Rfam family "Bacterial small subunit ribosomal RNA", at positions 524 to 776 of the family's 1533-position model. The record is from RNAcentral.
GACGAACCGUGCGAACGUUGUUCGGAAUCACUGGGCUUAAAGGGCGCGUAGGCGGGUCGUCAAGUCAGGGGUGAAAUCCUGCGGCUCAACCGCAGAAGUGCCUUUGAUACUGACGGUCUCGAGGGAGGUAGGGGCGUGUGGAACUUCCGGUGGAGCGGUGAAAUGCGUAGAUAUCGGAAGGAACGCCGGUGGCGAAAGCGACGCGCUGGACCUCUUCUGACGCUGAGGUGCGAAAGCGUGGGGAGCAAACAGG